CCUACGGGAGGCAGCAGUCGAGAAUCAUUCACAAUGGGGGAAACCCUGAUGGUGCGACGCCGCGUGGGGGAAUGAAGGUCUACGGAUUGUAAACCCCUGUCAUGUGGGAGCAAAUUAAAAAGAUAGUACCACAAGAGGAAGAGACGGCUAACUCUGUGCCAGCAGCCGCGGUAAUAAAGAGGUCUCAAGCGGUGUUCGGAAUCACUGGGCGUAAAGCGUGCGGAGGCGGUUUCGUAAGUCGUGUGUGAAAGGCGCGGGCUCAACCAGCGGACGGCACAUGAUACUGCGAGAAUAGAGUAAUGGAGGGGGAACCGGAAUUCUCGGUGUAGGAGUGAAAUGCGUAGAUAUCGAGAGGAACACUCGUGGCGAAGGCGGGUUCCUGGACCUUUACUGACGCUGAGGCACGAAGGCGAGGGGAGCGAAAGGGAUUUGAUACCCCUGUAGUC
This 446-nucleotide ribosomal RNA is filed under the name uncultured bacterium. RNAcentral's name for it is "partial 16S ribosomal RNA". It matches the Rfam family "Bacterial small subunit ribosomal RNA", at positions 338 to 795 of the family's 1533-position model. The record is from RNAcentral.